UUCCCGUGAUGAGGACAUGCGGCAUUGUAAUCCUGCAGCCUUUCCCAUGCUUCAGGAAUGGACUCAUCCCUUGUCUGCUGGAAGCUUGAGAUUCUCUCGCGAAGUG
RNAcentral lists this small nucleolar RNA (106 nucleotides) under Oryza meridionalis. Its description in RNAcentral is "snoRNA snoR71". It matches the Rfam family "Plant small nucleolar RNA R71". From Rfam's summary of the family: R71 is a member of the C/D box family of snoRNAs containing the C (UGAUGA) and D (CUGA) box motifs. Multiple nearly identical copies of this snoRNA have been identified in Arabidopsis, and it is thought to function as a 2'-O-ribose methylation guide for 18S ribosomal RNA. Lineage: Eukaryota; Viridiplantae; Streptophyta; Magnoliopsida; Poales; Poaceae. The record is from Rfam by way of RNAcentral.